Molecule: ribosomal RNA, 379 nt
Filed under: uncultured bacterium
Lineage: Bacteria
Description: bacterial SSU rRNA
Rfam family: Bacterial small subunit ribosomal RNA
Source: RNAcentral
GUGACCUGGCGGCAUGCUACCACAUGUUNGUCGAACGGCAGCACGGACUUCGGUCUGGUGGCGAGUGGCGAACGGGUAUACACAUCGGAACGUGCCCAGUCGUGGGGGAUAACGUAGCGAAAGCUACGCUAAUACCGCAUACGAUCUAAGGAUGAAAGCGGGGGACCGUAAGGCCUCGCGCGAUUGGAGCGGCCGAUGGCAGAUUAGGUAGUUGGUGGGGUAAAGGCUCACCAAGCCGACGAUCUGUAGCUNGUCUGAGAGGACGACCAGCCACACUGGGACUGAGACACGGCCCAGACUCCUACGGGAGGCAGCAGUGGGGAAUUUUGGACAAUGGGCGCAAGCCUGAUCCAGCCAUUCCGCGUGCAGGAUGAAGGCC